RNAcentral lists this ribosomal RNA (197 nucleotides) under uncultured bacterium. RNAcentral's name for it is "partial 16S ribosomal RNA". It matches the Rfam family "Bacterial small subunit ribosomal RNA", at positions 157 to 353 of the family's 1533-position model. The record is from RNAcentral.
AAGAAGUUAAUACCCGAUGGCAUAGUUCUUCCGCAUGGUAGAACUAUUAAAGGAUUUCGGUCAUCGAUGGGGAUGCGUUCCAUUAGGUUGUUGGCGGGGUAACGGCCCACCAAGCCUUCGAUGGAUAGGGGUUCUGAGAGGAAGGUCCCCCACAUUGGAACUGAGACACGGUCCAAACUCCUACGGGAGGCAGCAUG